UCUCAUUCUAGAAAUGGUGUAGUACGUUAUGUGCAGUAUGACUGCUUGUAUGCAUGUGAAUUACCUGUGAAGAGGAAGCCUCGGGGACGACCCAGGACACGCUGGAGAGACAGUCUCCCGGCUGGCCUGGGAACGCCUCAGGAUGCCCCCCCAGAUUUGCACCAUUAAUUUUAAGAGGACUCGGCUCAAUAGGGUGGAAGAACGACCAUUCAUCCAUCCAUUUUCCAUACCGCCUAUCAUCAAUAGGGUCGCAGGCGUGCUGGCGCCUAUCUCAGCCGACUCUGGGCGAGAGCCGGGGUACACCCCAAACCAGAGUUCAUCUCUACAAAUGGAAUAGCGUGUUGACGACUUUUCUUGAAGCCGAGAAGAGCAGCAGAAGAAAGACAGCGAGAACGAAAAUGGAAAAAAAAAAGAAAGUAGCAGCAGCGAAGUUUCUCUUCUCAGCUAAGAAGGCAGCAUGUUUCUGUGUCACUCUUUUCCCUUUUCAUGGCAAAGGGAGAGGAGCCAAGGUCGAGCGUGUCAGUGUGAGUCAAGCCUGAAAGUGUGAAGACUCCAAUUAGACGUAGCCUGGGGUCUGACUCCAAAAGACAAGGAUAACAUACACCCCUCUGCGAAAAUGUGCCAAACAACGCAAAGUGCAAACACAUACACACAUGCAUCUUCACUUCCCUGUUUUACAUGGAAUGCAUCUUGAUGCCACAUCUGUUUGCACCCCAUCCAUCAUCUCUAGCAAGCAACAGGCACAAUUAUUAACAAGCAAAAUCUGUCAUGCCCUAUUAGUGCAAUAAGGAACCUGCUAAGGCAAGUAAACUGUUUAUUAAUGUAUGGCUCAUGUAUCUAAUUGUGUGUUGAGGAAAAAAACUAAUGUUUAUAAUUUUGCAGUCUAUUUGCACUUAAUUCAAAACACUGUAUAACAAUCCCAGCAUUGAUUAUUAAAUUCGUUGUAGAAGGGUGUUACAUCAUCUUUUACUUUUUCUUCUGUGUAUUUGACAAGUGUCCGACUGGGUUUCUUUCCCAAAUUCAAUAUUUCUUUUAAAAAGAAGAAAUACAACUCAUUAAACAAUUUUUACUUUGCUAAUGCAUUCCAUUUUUUUCCUUGG
Long non-coding RNA from Phyllopteryx taeniolatus (common seadragon), 1100 nucleotides. RefSeq lists it as uncharacterized. The record is from RefSeq and is a predicted model, not a curated record. The transcript is spliced from 3 exons. NCBI's taxonomy places the organism in Eukaryota, Metazoa, Chordata, Actinopteri, Syngnathiformes, Syngnathidae.